This 326-nucleotide ribosomal RNA is filed under the name uncultured eukaryote. RNAcentral describes it as "partial 18S ribosomal RNA". It matches the Rfam family "Eukaryotic small subunit ribosomal RNA", at positions 1470 to 1796 of the family's 1831-position model. The record is from RNAcentral.
CCCUUAGAUGUCCUGGGCCGCACGCGCGCUACACUGAUGCAUUCAACGAGUUUUACCUUGGCCGAGAGGCCUGGGCAAUCUUUUAAACCUGCAUCGUGAUAGGGAUAGAUUAUUGCAAUUAUUAAUCUUGAACGAGGAAUUCCUAGUAAACGCAAAUCAUCAAUUUGCAUUGAUUACGUCCCUGCCCUUUGUACACACCGCCCGUCGCACCUACCGAUUGAAUGGUCCGGUGAAAUCUUGGGAUUUUGUUUUGUUUGCAUUUAUUUGUAUCGAGACGAGAGAACUUGAGUAAACCUUACCAUUUAGAGGAAGGUGAAGUCGUAACA